AUUUUUUUUAACUUUCUCUUAAAAUGUAAUUUCAAAACACUACCUUCUCCAGGGUUACUGUUUUGUGCAUCAAGGCCCCCCAAGAUGUCGGUAAGGAGAAGUGGGGUCCGCUCCCCCUUCUCCGCAUGGCUGUAGGGGGAGGAGCGUGUGCCCAGGGACGGCCCGUGUGCUUGUGCUGUCCGUCUGCCCACCGGGCCCACCCGGACACUUGUGGCUGGUGCAGAGGCCCUGGCCUCCUCAUCGGGCACCGGGGUGGGGAGGGGCAAACAGGGCCCACGGAGGGGCUCCCUUGUACAGCGGAGCCCCUGCCUGGUAGGGAGGGGGGUCAGGUAGAACAAGGCUGGCCCCCCCACCCAAACAAGUGGUUCUGGCCUUCGGAAUCUGCUCCCGUGCUGUUUGUGAACUGGGGACUAUUUUGUUUGUGGGCCUGGGCGGCCACGGAGGGGUCUCCUUCCCACGUGAGGGCCUUCGUGCUCAAGAGUUUCUGAGUAAAUCAGCCCAGGUCCCUGAGGAUCAUGGCUCUCCUGCCCCGUCUCGGUGGCUGUGGGGGCACAGCCUUCCAGGCCAGUCCCUGCAAACCUUCCACUCACCUGGGAGGCUCUCUGGGCCCUGGGCUGGGGUGUGGGGAGGGAGGAUAAAGGAAGAGCCCACUCGGGGAGGGUCUGCGUCAGGGUGGGACCCAGCGCCCCUUAUGCUCAGAGUCGAGACAGAAAGCAGUCUCUCUUCGGAGCACACACAGGCACUGCGGGCAGUUCGUCCAGUGCUUGGAUCGGGACACUCCUUGGUGGCCUGAGGUGUCCCGUUCGGAACCCACCAGCCCUCCCCACCCUCAGGUGCACGCCGGGCUCCUCGUGAAGCCAGAAGUGUCCCUAGGCUGAGCAGACACAGCGUUUUAUUUGUUGAAGGAAAUUACCGUGGGCAAUGAACACAUCAUUAGCGGCGUAAUCAGCACACGCGCCUUCCCGCUGGGGACGCCACAUCUUGUCAACAGGUGUAAUCCGGCAACAGCCCGGGGAGGGCCGGGAACGGGCUGCAAUUAGUAGCUAAUGAGGACGCCUGCCCUGACCUGUUCCUCCUUGGGAGAGAGACCGGUGUGGGCCUGAGGGGGGAGGGUCACAGAGAGAGCGCUGGGGCUCCCAGGGUCCUGCCUCCACACCCACCAGGCGCAGGAAGCAGCAGAAAGAGCUCGUCGGCCACACGGCCUCACUGCUGCACACGUGUCCCUAGGUCUGGGAGGUUGGCUCCGCUUCAGCCCUGGACGCCGAAGCCGUCUCAGUGGGGAGGUGCCAGCAGGAAGCCCCCUUUGCUUGACCAGGUGCCAGAAAGAGAGUGCCAGGAAGGCCCCGGGACAUGGCCGGCCACUUUCUGUGGCUGGGCCUCUGGGCUGUGGCCUAGGAAGUGUGGCCGGGGGCACAGUCCACUCUUGGAGGGCGCGCCUGAGGCUGGUCAGGCUUCGAGGCCUGCAGCUCGGAGCGGGAGCGGGUGGGGGGAGCGAGGCAACUCUCUGGGGGCGGGUUGUGGGGCUCGUUUGUGGCACUCUCCCCCUGGCCCUGAGCUGCCUCUGCGUCUGCACUUUGUACUCAGCCCCCAAGUCAUCAAGGGGGCCAUCUGGGGUGUCUGGAGGCAGAGCUGAGACUGCUGGGUGGCGCGGGGCCCCCUCAGGAGCCCCCAGGCCUCCGGGCCCAUGCACCCUUGGUGCUCACGUGCUUCGGCUCUGCAGCCCACCCGGCAGUCCCUCCACGUGUUGUACCUGCAGCCCCCUCGCCCAUUGCCAGCCACACCCAUGCUCACGGCGGGCUGACCAGUCCAGGAACCCCUGGUCGGGGUGAAGGGGGUCGCAGUGUUGUCCCGCUGGCCUGGCCCUGUGAAGAUGACAGGCUCAGAGACGGGCAGGGCCACCCAUCCAGACCUCCCCGGGGUUGGGGAUCACACACGUGUCCGUGUUCACAUCUGGCCCAUCGGCAGCACCAGGUUGGUCCUCUGGGGCGCCUUCUUUUGGGGGACGUGGCAUUUUCCCCACCCUGCUGCCACUUAUGAGCUCCCUCCUAAGUCAUCUCUGUGGCCCCCCCCCCCCCACCGUCCCUGGCUGUGGCCCCUCUGAUGCUGCCCUGCCGGCCACCCUCACCUAGCCCCCACGGCCCCGGGAGGACCCCUCCCCAGCACCUUCCAAGGUGUUCCAUGGAGCUCCAGGUGGGGCCGGCUCAGACAGCACCCCCCGGGAUAGCUCAGGGGGCUUGACCAGCACAGUGACUGGAGGACCAGGAACCUGGAAGCCCACUUGGUUUUCUCUGUGUGAGGUUUGUAUUGGUUCGUGAGGUCAGGCCUGGCCCACUGCCUGUGGGCGGGUGACCCCGUGCUUUGGGCCUCGGAGCCGAGCCCUGAGACGUCUCAGCUCUUGACGUUUUGGCACUCUUCAGCAGACCCAUCCCAGGCUCCCUUCCCUCCUGCCCUGCCAGUCUCCGCUGGGGACAGCCUCCAGCUCACCUGGGCUGUAGCAGCUGGGAGUAGGGGGGAGUCCCCCACACUCCGUAGAAGAUGAGGUCUUUCUUGUGCUGGGGGCACUGGGAGGGAGGAGCCCGCUGCCUUGCUAUAGAUGGGGUAGGGGAGCCAUUGUGCAGAACAGAAGGGCUCACGGCAGGGUCCGCUCCACCGCUGCCCGGACGACGCUCUUCCGUGACUGUGACCUGUGAGAGCCGCAGCUUGAUUCCCCGAGGUCCUGGCUCGUCUCUCCAUCUCGGCCUCGUUUUCCCUUCUGUGGUGGCAUGGAGGAAGUGACCUGGGGCCACCUCCACCCUGGGCAGCCCUGACUUCCCCGUGUACCUUAGGGUCCUUGUCAUCCCAAUCCGGACCACUGCUCCCAGAGGUCACCCUGACUGCAGGAGGCACUGGGAGGUGGGGAUGUGUCAAAGCCAGAGAACAGUGAGGAAGCACUUCCACCCUCUGAUGGCCAGGUGAGCCACCUCCUGCCAGAGCCCGGUCACUCGCCCUUGGAAGCCGUCCUGACGUGCGGUAGGGUCCUUGUGGGUGGCCAGGGGUCUGAGGAAGGGACCAGACCUGGAGUCGGUGGGGCCAAGUAGGCCACAGGCCAAGUCUGGUGGGGAGGGGAAACAGGUCACCCCAGAUGCCCUGGCUGCAGUGGCUUCAGAGCAGGCCCAGGACACCUGCCACGUGGAGGCCAGAGGCCAGUCUUGACAGACCCGGGGAGCUCCACAGAGAGCUGGUCCAGGGCCUGGUCCACGGUCAGCUCCUGGGUGAUGGUGCCUGAGGCCAUGAAGGAGGUGGCCAGCUGGGCUGGCGGGCCUAUCCGGGACCCGGGCCUGGAGGUGGGCAUUGCCCGUCAGCUUGGCUGUCAGGGAGGCACCUGUCCCGCUCCAAAGUCCAGCUGGCUUCGCUCCUCCCUCCCCGUGCUUGAGCCACCGAGCCUCCGGUCCCGAUGUAGCAGGUGCUCGGUCGGAAAGACGCAGUCUCCCUGGAGCACGUGGCCACGUCUGAGCAUGAGGGUCCCUGCAGGCAUGUCCUCAGCCCACACUGUGGUUCAGCUCCCUGCGGGGGAGGCAAGUUCUGCCCAUCUGCUCCCAGUGACCGCCCAGGGACCCGAACGGUGCUGGGGUGGGGUGGGGGGGUCAGAGAGUGAGGGUAGCCCCGUGUGCUGCUGACCCUCACCCCCAGAUGCCUUGCACGCCAGGAGGGUUCUGCAGAGGCCACUGGUGCUGUGGGGAGCCAGCACCAGGAGCAGCUGGAAGACACCGUCGCGGCCCCUCACUCGGGGGUUGGGGCACAGGGGUGGGGUCACUGCCCAGGCGCCCCCUACCCGACUCAGCACCGGGGCCACCCACCCCCACCUUUUCCUACAUCUGCUGGAAGGCAUCACGGAAGACAUCCCCCCGGAUCAGGGCCAGGAUGGCACCAGCCGUGGCCAGCAGGAAGGGCAGCAGCCCCUGCAGCCCACCUGGGAAGCCACAACAUACAAGAAGCCCACAGGCCUGGCUGACGCAGAGUGUGGUGUUGGCAGCCUCAGCCCUGGCACUCGCGGACACCCUCAGAAUGUCCAACAAGACGAGCGGCCACCUAGCUGGUGGCUCUGAGCAGGUCUAUAGCUGUGAGCAGAGGUGAGGCUCAGCAGGGCAGGGGACAUCAGCCGGGUGAAUAGCCACAGCCCCACCACCCACACGUCUGCCUCAGGCCAGCUGGGCUGGGUCACUGGUUCCUGUGGCUGCAGUCCCCGUGGCCUCAGGGACACAGCGGCAAAGGGAAACAUCCCUGGCCACCUACCAGACCUGGCCAGUUCUGGGGGGCAGGAAGGGGCCCCCUCGUUUCCUUGAGGCUGGGGCCCAGCUGCAGGCAUGCAGCCACCCCCUGGCAAGUGCCACCCGGCAAAGCGGGAAACCGAGGCCCUGGAACCUGCUCGCAGGGCAGUGGCUGAGGGAGAAUGUCGCCCUUGGGGUGCCAGACACCGGAACCGUCCCCACACUCCUCUCUCAAAGCCGAGAGACCUGACUCUUACGUGGGCUCUGGUCAGUCAUCGGACCUCUCUGGCCCUCAGUUUCCUUCUCUGUAAAAAGGUAAAAACCCAUCUGCAGUGGGUCUUCAUUCACAGAAUGAAUAUUCUGCUCUGGACUGGCAUCAGGGCGGAAACAGGGGCUCAGGGAGAAAGGGGCUGACCUCUCAGAGUCAGGAAGACCGCCAGCCAAUGAAGGCUUCCUGGAAGAGGCCACCUGGUGCAGAGACCCGUGACAGGUCUGCUCCAGGCUCCAGGCCAGCCUACUCUGGUUCUUUUUGUUAUUUUGCCCACACUGGGGAACAGGUGUUUCAAGAAAUCGGACUGGAGACAGCCUACUGAACUCGGGGCACGGACCCUGCCGUGCCAGGACGUGGGUCCUGCCGGGGAACCUGGCCGCCCACCCUUGGACUCAUGGAGAUGAUCAGAUUAGACGGAAGUGCGUCCACACCAGCGAUCAAACCAGGAGUGACCGUUCAUCCGAUUCCUUAGCCGUGACUGGAUGCCUUCCCUGAUGAGGAACAGAUUCAGUCCUGUGAACAGGAGAAAAAAGGCCUUUUCUUUUUGUGCAGAAUAAGCAGCCCACAUUUGUUUUGUUCACCCGAAGAGUGACAAGGCCAGCAAUAGCCUGGGGGCAACGCCUGACAGAGAGGAAGGACAAACAGAGGUCGUGCAUGAGGAAGGAGAAGCCAGCUGCACGCCUGAGCGCAACUUGCAAAACGUGGAGCUGAGCCGCGCUGGGAGGAGACCGGAAAGGAAGGCACAUCCAGGUACUCACCGAGCCUCGGGCACUUCUAGGCUUCGGCUGUCCCUCUCCUUGUUGACGCCUGCCUGCUAACUGCCAAUCGUUUGUGGAACAGGAAUCCUUCAUUCUGGUGAAGUCCGACUCACCCACAAUCAGCAGAGUGGCCGCACCAGCCAGCAUUCCCACCAGCAGUGCCAAAGAGAUCCUCUCUCUCCGCAUCCUCGCCCGUGUCAGGACUAGUGGGGUGGCCUGCGGAGAUCCUGUGGCGGCACCAGGUGGGGGACCCACCCUUGCCCACUGAGCCUCGUCUCACGGCACGAGAAAUGGGGCAGUGAGACGCUGUGAAGUAAGGCGUCAGCUCCCAACUCGAGCCUGGUACGUGCCCGCGCCCCCCAGGGGAGGCCCAGGCUGGGGCUGCUCUCCACCCGGGGCCCCCCCUCCUCCCGGGUGACUCCCCCCUACAUUCCUGCGGCAGGAGCAGCCUGCUCCCAGCUGGCAAGGCCUCCUUUGUUUGGCUCGACUGACCCGAGGGGGUGCCGGACUCUUGGCCACUUCCGGGUUGAGGAAACCAAGGCGAAGGAGGCUCGGGUUUGGUAGAUCGCCCUGAAAGAACCACAGUGCAGGGCCCACUGGCACCGGGGGACGUUCCCAGGGGACUUUCCCGUGGUGUCCUGGGGUCCAGCCCAGUAUCCAGGGCCAAAAGGGGCUGACCAUGGCCUCAUCCGCGUGGGGUGGGGACAACGGCCCAGCUGGGGUCUGGGUCACCCGCAUGAACAUGCCUGGGGAGGUGAGGGUGGGGUCACGUCCAUCAGCACUCCUGGCACCUCUAGCUAAGGUCUGAGUGGGAGCGGCGGUUAGCCAAGGCUGGUCCCAGGGCCCACCUGGGAGGGACGCUGGCCACCCCAAAGAAGCAGGCUGGGGGGGCAACCCGGCCCCUGCCACCACAGAUGCCCCCUUCCAAGGUCCUUGCACUCGGCGAGUGUGAGGACCGCCCCCC
Long non-coding RNA from Neofelis nebulosa (Clouded leopard), 6240 nucleotides. RefSeq lists it as uncharacterized. The record is from RefSeq and is a predicted model, not a curated record. NCBI's taxonomy places the organism in Eukaryota, Metazoa, Chordata, Mammalia, Carnivora, Felidae. The transcript has 4 exons.